AACGAACGCUGGCGGCAGGCUUAACACAUGCAAGUCGAGCGCCCCGCAAGGGGAGCGGCAGACGGGUGAGUAACGCGUGGGAAUCUACCCAACUCUACGGAAUAACUCAGGGAAACUUGUGCUAAUACCGUAUACGCCCUUCGGGGAAGAUUUAUCAGAGUUGGAUGAGCCCGCGUUGGAUUAGCUAGUUGGUGGGGUAA
Molecule: ribosomal RNA, 200 nt
Filed under: uncultured bacterium
Lineage: Bacteria
Description: partial 16S ribosomal RNA
Rfam family: Bacterial small subunit ribosomal RNA
Source: RNAcentral